GUCGAACGGCAGCACGGACUUCGGUCUGGUGGCGAGUGGCGAACGGGUGAGUAAUGUAUCGGAACGUGCCCAGUAGCGGGGGAUAACUACGCGAAAGCGUAGCUAAUACCGCAUACGCCCUUCGGGGGAAAGCAGGGGAUCGUAAGACCUUGCACUAUUGGAGCGGCCGAUAUCGGAUUAGCUAGUUGGUGAGGUAAUGGCUCACCAAGGCCGCGAUCCGUAGCUGGUUUGAGAGGACGACCAGCCACACUGGGACUGAGACACGGCCCAGACUCCUACGGGAGGCAGCAGUGGGGAAUUUUGGACAAUGGGGGAAACCCUGAUCCAGCCAUCCCGCGUGUGCGAUGAAGGCCUUCGGGUUGUAAAGCACUUUUGGCAGGAAAGAAACGGCGCGUGCUAAUACCAUGCGCAACUGACGGUACCUGCAGAAUAAGCACCGGCUAACUACGUGCCAGCAGCCGCGGUAAUACGUAGGGUGCAAGCGUUAAUCGGAAUUACUGGGCGUAAAGCGUGCGCAGGCGGUUCGGAAAGAAAGAUGUGAAAUCCCAGGGCUCAACCUUGGAACUGCAUUUUUAACUACCGGACUAGAGUAUGUCAGAGGGAGGUGGAAUUCCACGUGUAGCAGUGAAAUGCGUAGAUAUGUGGAGGAACACCGAUGGCGAAGGCAGCCUCCUGG
Molecule: ribosomal RNA, 676 nt
Filed under: bacterium 28-L049658-122-015-D04
Lineage: Bacteria
Description: bacterial SSU rRNA
Rfam family: Bacterial small subunit ribosomal RNA
Source: RNAcentral